This 653-nucleotide ribosomal RNA is filed under the name Cafeteria roenbergensis. Its description in RNAcentral is "partial Bacterial large subunit ribosomal RNA". It matches the Rfam family "Bacterial large subunit ribosomal RNA", at positions 17 to 690 of the family's 2925-position model. The record is from RNAcentral. Lineage: Eukaryota; Bigyra; Bicosoecida; Cafeteriaceae.
GCGUAUGGGGAAUGCCUAGGCUCUCAGAGGCGAUGAAGGACGUGAUAAGCUGCGAAAAGCUGCGGGGACAGGCACAUACUGAUUGAUCCGCAGAUAUCCGAAUGGGGCAACCCACUAUAUUGAAGAUAUAGUAUCCUAAGGGAGGCGAACCCGGAGAACUGAAACAUCUAAGUACCCGGAGGAGAAGAAAACAAAAGUGAUUCCGCUAGUAGUGGCGAGCGAACGCGGAAUAGCCCAAACCAAUGUUGUUACGGCAAUAUUGGGGUUGUAGGACCACGACAUUUAAUGAUUACAGAAUUAGAACGCUUUGGAAAUAGCGACCAUAGAGGGUGAUAGUCCCGUAUAGGUAAUGUAAUUAAUUGAUAGUGGUAUCCUGAGUAGCGCGGGACACGUGUAAUCCUGUGUGAAUUUGGCGGGACCAUCCGCUAAGGCUAAAUACUCCUGAGAGACCGAUAGUGAACUAGUACCGUGAGGGAAAGGUGAAAAGAACCCUGAAUAAGGGAGUGAAAUAGACCCUGAAACCAUACGCUUACAAGCGGUCGGAGCCCUUUGGGGUGACGGCGUGCCUUUUGCAUAAUGAGCCUACGAGUUACCGUUGCUAGCAAGGUUAAAUGUUUAAGACAUGGAGCCGUAGCGAAAGCGAGUCUGAAUAG